RNAcentral lists this transfer RNA (74 nucleotides) under Myxococcales bacterium. RNAcentral describes it as "tRNA-Lys". It matches the Rfam family "tRNA". Rfam says of the family: Transfer RNA (tRNA) molecules are approximately 80 nucleotides in length. Their secondary structure includes four short double-helical elements and three loops (D, anti-codon, and T loops). The record is from RNAcentral. Lineage: Bacteria; Pseudomonadati; Myxococcota; Myxococcia; Myxococcales.
GGGCCGGUAGCUCAGUCCGGUAGAGCAGCGGACUUUUAAUCCGUUGGUCGGGAGUUCGAAUCUCCCCCGGCUCA